UAGGGAAUCUUCGGCAAUGGGCGAAAGCCUGACCGAGCAACGCCGCGUGAAUGAAGAAGGCCUUCGGGUUGUAAAAUUCUGUUAUAAGGGAAGAAAGGUGAUAGGAGGAAAUGACUAUCAAUUGACGGUACCUUAUGAGAAAGCCACGGCUAACUACGUGCCAGCAGCCGCGGUAAUACGUAGGUGGCAAGCGUUAUCCGGAAUUAUUGGGCGUAAAGAGCGCGCAGGUGGUUAAUUAAGUCUGAUGUGAAAGCCCACGGCUUAACCGUGGAGGGUCAUUGGAAACUGGUUGACUUGAGUGCAGAAGAGGGAAGUGGAAUUCCAUGUGUAGCGGUGAAAUGCGUAGAGAUAUGGAGGAACACCAGUGGCGAAGGCGGCUUCCUGGUCUGCAACUGACACUGAGGCGCGAAAGCGUGGGGAGCAAACA
RNAcentral lists this ribosomal RNA (427 nucleotides) under uncultured prokaryote. Its description in RNAcentral is "bacterial SSU rRNA". It matches the Rfam family "Bacterial small subunit ribosomal RNA", at positions 355 to 774 of the family's 1533-position model. The record is from RNAcentral.